Molecule: ribosomal RNA, 478 nt
Filed under: uncultured bacterium
Lineage: Bacteria
Description: partial 16S ribosomal RNA
Rfam family: Bacterial small subunit ribosomal RNA
Source: RNAcentral
GAUGAACGCUGGCGGCGUGCUUAACACAUGCAAGUCGAACGAGAAGUGAAGACGGAAACCUUCGGGCGGAAGGCUUUAUUUCGAGUGGCGGACGGGUGAGUAACGCGUGGGUAACCUGCCUCAUACAGGGGGAUAACAGUUGGAAACGACUGUUAAUACCGCAUAAGACCACAGCACCGCAUGGUGCGGGGGUAAAAACUCCGGUGGUAUGAGAUGGACCCGCGUUCGAUUAGCCAGUUGGCGGGGUAACGGCCCACCAAAGCGACGAUCGAUAGCCGAUCUGAGAGGAUGACUGGCCACAUUGGGACUGAGACACGGCCCAAACUCCUACGGGAGGCAGCAGUGGGGAAUAUUGCACAAUGGGGGAAACCCUGAUGCAGCGACGCCGCGUGAGUGAAGAAGUAUUUCGGUAUGUAAAGCUCUAUCAGCAGGGAAGAAAAUGACGGUACCUGAGUAAGAAGCCCCGGCUAACUACGUG